Molecule: non-coding RNA, 943 nt
Filed under: Coelorinchus multispinulosus (spearnose grenadier)
Lineage: Eukaryota; Metazoa; Chordata; Actinopteri; Gadiformes; Macrouridae
Description: 12S ribosomal RNA
Rfam family: Bacterial small subunit ribosomal RNA
Source: RNAcentral
AAAGGUUUGGUCCUAGCUUUACUAUCAGCUCUAACCUGCUUUACACAUGCAAGUCUCCGCACCCCUGUGAGAAUGCCCUUAUUGUCCUGCCUAGGAACUAAGGAGCAGGUAUCAGGCACGAUCAGUCAGCCCAACACACCUUGUUUUGCCACACCCCCACGGGCACUCAGCAGUGAUAAACUUUCAGCUAUAAGUGAAAACUUGACUCAGUUAAGGUUUAAAGGGUCGGUAAACCUCGUGCCAGCCACCGCGGUUAAACGGGAGACCCAAGUUGAUAGACAACGGCGUAAAGCGUGGUUAAGACGUCAAUAUAAUAGGGUUAAAUAGCCUCUAAGCAGUCAAAUGCUAUCGAAACCAUAAAACCCAUUUACGAAAGUAACCCUAACAUCUCUGACUCCACGAAAGCUAUAACCCAAACUGGGAUUAGAUACCCCACUAUGUAUAGCCGUUAAAAUUGAUGGUACUCCACUCGAACCAUCCGCCUGGGGACUACGAGCCUCAGCUUAAAACCCAAAGGACCUGGCGGUGCUUUAGAUCCCCCUAGAGGAGCCUGUUCUGUAACUGACAACCCCCGUUAAACCUCACCCCCCCUUGUCAAAUCCGCCUAUAUACCACCGUCGUAAGCUUACCCUACUGAAGGUUAAAAAGUAAGCCCCAACAGUAAUACUAAAGACGUCAGGUCGAGGUGUAGCGUAUGGGGCGGAAAGAAAUGGGCUACAUUCCCUAACACAGGGCACACGAAUGGUGGUUUGAAAAAACUACACUGAAGGAGGAUUUAGUAGUAAGAAAGGAAUAGAGCGCCCUACUGAAAAUGGCCCUAAAGCGCGUACAGACCGCCCGUCACUCUCCCCAAAAAAUAUUUCCUUAUUCCUAAUAAUCUUAGUAACACAAGGUGAGAUAAGUCGUAACAUGGUAAGUGUACCGGAAGGUGUACUUGGAUAAA